The sequence is a transfer RNA, 74 nucleotides long. It matches the Rfam family "tRNA". From Rfam's summary of the family: Transfer RNA (tRNA) molecules are approximately 80 nucleotides in length. Their secondary structure includes four short double-helical elements and three loops (D, anti-codon, and T loops). The record is from Rfam.
GCUCUGGUAGCUCAGCAGGUUAGAGCGUCGUGCUAAUAACGCGAAGGUCCUGGGUUCGAAUCCCAGUCGGAGCA